GCACCUGCUUGGGUGACAGAUGGCAUGAAAUCGGAGAGAUGACAGCCUGGGGAGGUAAGCCAUUAGGGGUGGGGUGAGAGGAGACGGUGGAGAGAGCUCAAGCAGGAGGACCAUAGGGUGGAAAAGAGGAAGGGACCGGGCGCCCGGGUGGCUCAGUCGGUUGCUUAUCCAACUUGGGCUCAGGUCACGAUCUCACAGCUCGUGGGUACGAGCCCCGUGUCGUGCUCUGUGCUGACAGCUCAGAGCCUGGAGCCUGCUUCGGAUUCUGUGUCUCCCUCUCUCUCUGCCCCUCGCUUGCUCGUGGUCUCUCUGUCACAUAAAUAAACAACAGGGGCGCCUGGGUGGCUCAGUCGGUUGAGCAACCGACUUCAGCUCAGGUCACGAUCUCAGGGUUUGUGAGUUCGAGCCCCGCAUCGGGCUCUGUGCUGACGGCUCAGAGCCUGGAACCUGCUUCCGAUUCUGUGUCUCCCUCUCUCUCUGACCCUCCCCCACUCAUGCUCUGUCUCUGUCUCAGAAAUAAAUAAACAUUAAACAAAAUUUUUUUAAAUAAAAAAAAAUUUUUUAAGAAAAGAGGGAGUCGGAAAAGGGAGGAAAGACACGUCGAAAGGCUGCCUGCUGUAAUAGAAGAGUGUUGCAAUUAGACCAGGGUUCAGGUCUCAGCUGCUGACAGGCUCUGUGAUCUUGGACAAGUUACCAUCCCUGUUCCCUCCUAUUCGGUGGGAGAGAAGUCUUUUUGGUGAUUGUCGUGAGCCUUCAAUAGGUGAAGGAAUGUGUGGACGGGGCACCCGGGAGGCUCUGUGAGUUAAGUGUCCGACUUCGGCUCAGGUCAUGAUCUCGUGGUUCACGAGUUCAAGCCCCGCAUCGGGCUCUGUGCCGGCUGCUCUGGAUUCUGUGUCUCCCUCUCUCUCUGCCCCUCUCCUGCUCACUCUCUGUCUCUCUCUCUCUCAAAAUAAAGUAAAAUAAAAUAAAAAACAUUAAAAAAAUAAAUAGUAAAAAUAAAGGAAUGUGUGCAACGUCCAAGUUGGUGCGUGAUCAUCAAAUGGUAGCCGUGAGUGGACACCUGUUUGGGAAUCGCCAAGGGCCGUGCCAAGGUCACUGAGUCACAGCACAUAGAGGUCAUCACAACGCAGAGGAGUGACAAGUGCAAUAAAAAGAAGGCUGAGGGAGGGACUGAGGAGCCUCCGUCUGGGAUUCAGAGGGCUGAAGGAAUUCUCAGCUGAGGGGACAGCGUGUGCAAGGGGAGGCCACGGCACCGUGCUCGUGUAACGGCAAGUUGGCUGGAACACGAUAUCGAUAGUGAGCCCGGAGGAGAGAGAGAGACGGGAGGUGCCGCGGGAAAGGUCAGCUGGGGUCAGGUGGCUUGGCAGGCCGUUUGAACUUUACUCCGCAUGACUGGGAAGCCAACAAAGGUUUUAAAACAGAGCAGUGACUGCAUCGGGACGGGCAUCUGAGGAAGAUGAUACCAGCAUCUGCCGAGCGGUCCCGGUGUUCCGGGCCCUAUGGCCCGGCAGUGUAUUCACGGCUCUGCAUUCACAUUUCGGCUCUGCAUUCCCGCGACGCGUAGGACCUAUAUCAUCGCCACUGGGUGGUAAAGGCUUAGGGAAGCAGACUGCUUUUGAAAGGAAUUGGACCAACUCAUUCGAAAAAAUCGUAGGGUAAAGUGCCAAGGACGCCUAACGAUAAUUGUGAAAAACAAGGGAGAAUACCGGGCUACGAGGAAGUCCUGUGUUCUGUCUGUAGUAAGACUUAAUAUCGGGGGUGGGGGGGCGCCCGCCCGGCUCAGCCUGUAGAGCACGCGACUCUUGAUCCCCGGGCCGUGAGUUCGAGCCCCACGUUGAGGGUAAAGAUGACUUAAAUAACAAACCUUAAAAAAAGGGAAUCAGAUACCAUUAAAAAAAAGAUUUCGGGGGUGCCUGGGUGACUCAGUCGGUCGCGCGUCCAACUUCAGCUCAGGUCAUGAUCUCGCAGUUCCCAAGUUCAAGCCCCGCAUCGGGCUCUGUGCUGACAGCUCAGAGCCUGGAGCCUGCUUCAGAUUCUGUGUCUCCCUCUCUCUCUGCCCCUCCCCCACUCAUGUUUUGCCCCCUCUCUCUCCCCCUUCCUCUCUCUCUCUCUCUCUUAAAAAUAAAUAUGUAUUAAAAAAAAUAGAAAAAAAAGAUUUCCUAUAGGGGCAACCUGAGAGGCUUAGUUAAGUGUCCAACUCUUGAUUUUGUCUCAGGUCAUGAUCUCAUGGUUUGGGAGAUCAAGCCCCGCAUCAGGCUUUGCACGGACAUCGAGGAACCUGCUUGGGAUUCUCUCUCUCUCACUCCCUGUCUCUCUCUGUCUCUCUCUCCUUCUCUCUCCUUCCCCCACUUGUUCUCUCUGUCUCAAAAUAAAUAAACUUUAAAGAAAAGAAAAUUUCAUAUAAAGAUAUAGUAACUAAAACAAUGGGAUAGAGAAAUAAACGAGACAAUAGAACAGAACAGGGGACCGAGAAACAGACCCAUGCAAGUUGGUAAUAUGUAAAGAGCCAGAGGCAACAUGCACCUGAGUGGGGAAAGACCGGGUUCUUCAGCAAAUGGUGUUGGAAGAGCUGACUGGCCAAAUGGAAAAAAAUAGAUUUAGCUCCUUACAACAUACAUGAAAAUAAGUUCACAAAUGUGUAAAAUGAAUACCUCUUAGAAUAAAAAUAGAAGUUCAGUAAUAUAUCUGGAGCCACCCAGGUAAUAAAUGGAGACACUGUAUCUCGUCAAGCCUGAGGGGUCUGGUGCCAGAUCCUGCCCUCUUAACCCACUCAGUAGGUGCUCUGUCCCGGUCCCUUCAGAGUGUUAGACGGACCAGUGCAAACAGACACUGAAGGCAGGGCGGUGGCGAUUGGAGGCUGGAUUGGCAGCCGGUCCCCACAUACCUUACGUGAAGGAUCGCUGGGGAGGCAGAGGGAGGGACUGUCGCCGUAUCACCGUCACUCAGUCGACAGAUUGGGCACCGAUGAUGUCCCACCCCCUGCCCGGUGUCCGUGUGAGAGAUACCAUCACAAGCUCAACAAACGUUUACCGAGGGUGGUCGUGUUACCGGGUGGGUGUGAGAAGGAUAAAAAUAAGGCAAUGGCAGUGAAUUGUUGCAUGGUAGGGCUGGGAGGAUUUGGGAGAUCAACUGUCCAGUCCUCUCGUUUUACAGAUUGGGAAAUAGGCACGGUGAGAAGGGACUUUUCUCUUUUUUCACAGUAUUCUUGUUUGGAACCCUGAGCAAAGAACACAGCUCCCUGGCCGUGUUGUAAAUAACCAGCUCCUCUGUCUUUCUUGGCGUGAAAUUAUCUUUUUAGUUUUUUAAGUUUAUUUAUUUUGACAGAAAGAGUGUGUGUGAGUGGAGGAGGGGCAGAAAGAGAGGGAGAGAGAGAAUCGCAAGCAGGAUCCCUGUUGAGAGCGUGGACCCUGAGGUGGGGCUCGAUCCCACAAACUGUGAGAUCAUGACCUGAGCCAAAAUCAAGAGUCGAACACUGGGGCGCCUGGGUGGCUCAGUCGGUUAAGCGGCCGACUUCGGCUCAGGUCAUGAUAUCGCGGUUUGUGAGUUCGAGCCCCUGAUCAGGCUCUGUGCUGACAGCUUAGAGCCUGGAGCCUGCUUCGGAUUCUGUGCCUCCCUUUCUCUCUGCCGUGCCCCCCCGCCCUUGCCUCGUUCUCUGUCUCUCAAAAAUAAAUAAAUGUUAAAAAAAAUUAAAAAAAAAAAAAGAGUCAAACACUUAACUGACUGAGCCACCCAGGCGCCCUGAAAUUAACUUUUUUUUUUUUAACUGGUUAUCCUGCUCUGGCCACCAAACACUGUCCAGCCAGUGCCAGGCAGGUCUAACCCUGUUUAUCACUUCAUUACUCAUUCAACCAUUUUUUUAAUGUUUUUAUUUAUUUUUGAGACAGAGAGAGACAGAGCACGAGCGGGGGAGGGGCAGAGAGAGAAGGAGACACAGAAUCCGAAGCAGGCUCCAGGCUCUGAGCGGUCAGCACAGAGCCCGACGCGGGGCUCGAACUCACGGACCGCGAGAUCAUGACCUGAGCCGAAGUCGGACGCUCAACCGACUGAGCCACCCAGGCGCCCCACAUUCAACCAUUAUUUACUUCCAUCUUUUUUGUCCCCAUGUUCUUCCCUGCAGCCUUCCUAUAGAAUUCCUAUAGAAUUCAUUCCUAUCCCUCCCUAUGCAAGAGCUGAGCCUGCCCAGAGAAAACCAUAUACUGUGGGGUCACCAUGGGUUCAUGCCUCCCCUCCACGGACCCUCCGGUGCCACCCAUCAGUGGCCAGCGACUGCCACAUUGACAAGUCCAAAGGUCACUUUUCUUCUCAUCUGACUUCACGGACCCCUCCCUUCUCCCACUGAUGUCUUCAGCAAUACUUCUGAUUCUCCUCCCACCCAUAGCUUUCAGAGUAAAGUUCCAACUCCUUAGAUUAGCAUUCAAUAUCUUUUGUGAUUUGGCCCCUGCCCACCUCUGCAGGCUCUUUUCCUGCCACUGACCUUGCCCUUCUUUACCCCUGGCCCCAAAGAACUUUCUGCUGUGCCCUUCUUCGGGAAAGAUCUCUGCGAUUCUCUCCCGUAGGUGGGGUUGUGGAAUUCGGCAUGUGCCUUCAUUCCGAAGGCACCUUCUCAGGCAGGGAGAGUAUCUCUCUGUUCUCGGUAUCUGGCUGAGUGCUUCAGAGCAGGUACCUAGGAAAUGGAGGUUGGAGGAAGCUAAGAGCCAAAUGGCAUUGUGGGAACGUCCACAGCACAAGGAAAUGUAUGCCUGAUGUCACCCUCUUCUCUAGACAACACCACCAGCCGUACACACGCCCCUUCACUUUUCCCCAAACUUGGAAAGAAGCCAGUGGCCGCCUGACCUCAGGGAUCUGGGGGGGGGAGGGGAGUGGGGAGGGAGAUGUUUGGACAGGGGGAGGAGAGCACCACAGUAGUCUCUUCCCUUUGGGAUAAGGGUGAUGCUCAACCAGCGUAGCACCCACCGAGUCCCCCUCCCCCGCUUUCUCUUCCUGCCUUGAGUUUGUGGGUUGGAGGGGAAGAGGGGGAAGGUGCUUCUUCAGGGGGGAGGAAAACCCCAGUUCCUAUUCCCCUGAUCUCUCAGCCCAGGAUCCUGAGACCCUCAGGGCGGAACCUAAUGGAAGGCUGGUCACUUCCUGUGGGGCCUGUGCCUGCGACCAGCCACGGAGGCCAAGUUGGGAUUGAGACCUGGGAAGGGCAGGGCAGUUAUGGAUAUUGGCAGAUCGAGGGGCGGAGUUCAGGGUAAUUUGUGUGACUGGUGGGGAACUUGAUUUGAGAAAGUUGAGCGGACCCACCUGUAUAACAGCUAAUAUUAUCUGACCAGCGCUUUCCAGUUUACAAAGUACUCUCCCAUCAGUUCAAACAAUUCCUUGGACACCUACUGCCGACACAGGGCCAGGGGCCAGGGCCUUGACCCGCACUUAUACCCUGAGAGGCGGGUGCUUUGAUCCCCACCUCAUUGUUGAGGGAGCUGAAUGAAGCCUGGAGGAAGAGUGAAGGACAGGAGGAAAAAUAGGUCGGGUGUGGGUCAAGUUCAGAAGGUGAAGGAAAGCCAGAGGGAAGCAAGUCGGGCCUCUGGUGGUGACAGGGGCUGGCCAGUAAAAAGGUGCCUCCAGCCGCCCCUUCCUUCUGCUGCAUUUUAAGACCCACUUAGUCCCUCCUCACUCUUUCAGGAUGUGCAGGCCCGGCCUGGGGGCACCUGAUGGCCUCCAUCGCUAGCCUUGGACCUGCUGGGCUUUGGAAAGCGGGUGAGCCUCCUUCCUGAUAGUUGCAGACAAACCCCCCGGGCCUCUGCUAUNNNNNNNNNNNNNNNNNNNNNNNNNNNNNNNNNNNNNNNNNNNNNNNNNNNNNNNNNNNNNNNNNNNNNNNNNNNNNNNNNNNNNNNNNNNNNNNNNNNNNNNNNNNNNNNNNNNNNNNNNNNNNNNNNNNNNNNNNNNNNNNNNNNNNNNNNNNNNNNNNNNNNNNNNNNNNNNNNNNNNNNNNNNNNNNNNNNNNNNNNNNNNNNNNNNNNNNNNNNNNNNNNNNNNNNNNNNNNNNNNNNNNNNNNNNNNNNNNNNNNNNNNNNNNNNNNNNNNNNNNNNNNNNNNNNNNNNNNNNNNNNNNNNNNNNNNNNNNNNNNNNNNNNNNNNNNNNNNNNNNNNNNNNNNNNNNNNNNNNNNNNNNNNNNCCCCCCUGCUCCCCCUGCCUGGGGGAGACCCACGGGCUUCUGAAACAGAGGAGCAGCUGAGUAAAGGCACAGAGAAGGUGCGAAAAAACAGAGGGACUUCGGGCAGAACGCCAAGUAACCUAGCAAAACAAAAGUGAGCCGGUGUGAGAAAAAGCCUAGAAGGAAGCACCCUCUGAAGUUGGGGUUAUUGAGUACAUUUUUUCUGUGUUAUGUUGCACAUCCUCCAGCUCUUGCUGGUAAUCUGUUUUUGCGGUGAGAAAGGAAAUCAUCCCUUACCCUUAAAGGAGCAUUUUAUUUUACCUGAUGUUUAGUCCUUGUAUGUUAUUCCUGCCAACCAGCCGAUCAUCUUAUUUAUGAGGUGAUUAGCAUUUUGGAGGCAGGGACUCUGAGACUCCAUCGUGGUGAAUGACGGACUUGAAGGCACAAUAGCAGCCUGUGGUCUGUUCUGGAGACUGUUCUGCGUGUCCCCGAGAACAGUGCCUAUUCUGUUGUCGGGAGGAGUGUCCCGUAGUCUUUUAGGUCCAGUUGGUUUCUAGUGUUUUCCAAGUACUCUAUUUCCUUACUGAUCUUCUGUAUAGGAUAUUCUGUCCAUCAUUUGUUUUAAUGUUUAUUUAUUUAUGAGAGAGUGCAAGCGGGGGAGGGGCAGAGAGAGGGGGACAGAAGAUCCGAGGAGGGCUCUGCGCUGACAGGCUGACAGCGGGCAAGCCCGAUGUGGGGCUCGAACCCACUCACUGAGAGAUCAUGACCUGAGCCGGAGUUGGAUGCUCUACUGAGCCACCCAGGUGCCCCUGUCCAUUGUUCUUUUUUUUUAAUUUUUUAUGUUUGUUUAUUUUUGAGAGCGAGAGAGAGCACGAGUGGGGGAGGGGCAGAGAGAGAGGGAGACACAGAAUCCAAAGCAGGCUCCAGGUUCCGAGCUGUCAGCAGGGCUCGAACUCACGGUGUGCGAGAUCAUGACCUGAGCCAAAGUCAGCUGCUUAACCAACUGAGCCACCCAGGUGCUGUCCAUUAUUGAAAGUAGGUGCCUGGGUGGCUCAGUCGUUUGAGUUGAUUUCAGCCCAGGUCAUGAUCUCACGGUUCAUGGGUUGGAGCCACCCCGACCCCCGUCAGGCUCUGGCUGACAGGGCAGAGCCUGCUUGGGAUUCUCUCUCGCUCCUUCUCUCUCUGCCCCUCCCCGACUUGCGCUUUCUCUCUCUCUCAAAGCAAAUAAACUUUAAAAAAUAAUAAAAAAGAAAGUAGGGCACUGAAGUCUCCAACUAUUAUUGUAGACGUGUCUAUUUCUCCCUUCACUUCUGUCAUUGUUUGCUUCAUAUAUUUUGAGAUUCUGUUGUUUGGGACAUAUAGAAUUGUUACAGCUUCUUCACGAAUUGACACUUAAAUCAAUAUAUAGUGUCCUCCUUUGUCGCUUGUAACAGUUUUUUAUUUCAAAUCUAUUUGGUCUAGAAUUAGCAUAGCCACCCUGGCUGUCUUUUGGGUGGCUCUUUGCACAGAAUAUGUUUUUCCAUCCCUUUGCUUACAACGUAUUUGUGCCUUUGGGUCUAAAGUGAGUCUCCUGGGGGCGCCUGGGUGGCUCAGUCGGUUGAGCGGCCGACUUCGGCUCAGGUCACGAUCUCGCGGUCCGUGAGUUCGAGUCCCGCGUCGGGCUCUGGGCCGACGGCUCGGAGCCUGGGGCCCGCUUCCGAUUCUGUGUCUCCCUCUCUCUCUCUGGCCCUUUGCCUCUCGAGCUCUGCCUCUGUCUCUGUCUCUCUCAAAAAUAAAUAAACAUUAAAAUAAAUAAAUAAAGUGAGUCUCCUGCAACCAGCAUAUACUUGGAUAUAAAAUAUAUAUAUAUUUUUGGCCAUCUUAAAGUUUACAGUUCAGGGGCAGUAAGUACAUUCCUGUGCAACCAUCACCGCCAUCCGUCUCCAGAACUUUUCUCAUAUCCCCACACUGAAACUCCAUACCCAUUAAAUAAUAAUUCUCCAUCUCCCCCUACCCCACCAGCCCCUGGCAACCACCAUUCUACUUUCUGUCUCUGUCCAUUUGAUUACUAGUGUAUGUAAAGUCCUAGGUACCUCGUCCAAGUGAAAUCAUAAGCAUCUGUCCUUUCGUGUCUGUUUUUCUCUCCCCCUUAGCGUAAUGUCAUCAAGGUUCAGACAUGUUGUAGGCGUGUCAAAAUGUCAUUCUUUUUUAAGGAUGAAUAAUAUUCAAUAUGCCGUUGUAUACAUAUAUAUGCCUUAGUUUUUUUUUUGUUUUUUUUUUUUUUUGUCUUUUAACGUUUAGUUAUUUUUGAGACAGGGAGAGACAGAGCAUGAACUGGGGAAGGUCAGAGAGAGGGAGACACAGAAUCUGAAACGGGCUCCAGGCUCCGAGCUGUCAGCAGAGAGCCCGACGCGGGGCUCGAACUCACGGAGCGCGAGAUCAUGACCUGAGCCGAAGUCGGCCGCUUAACCGACUGAGCCACCCAGGCGCCCCUAUGCCUUAGUUUUUGUAUCCAUUUACCUGUCAGUGGGUGCUCGGGUUGCUUCCAGCUUUUGCCUGCUGUGAAUAAUGGUGCUGUGAGCAUGAAUGUACAAAUACCUGGCUUUCAACUCUUUCGGGUAUAUAUUCGAGCAGAAUUGCUGGAUUGUAUGGUGAUUCUAUUUUUAAUUUUUUGACGAACCGCGAUACAUACUGAUGUCUAUAGCGAUGAUACAUUUUAUAUUCCCAGCAGCAGUACACAAGAGUUCCAAUUUCUCCACCUUCCCACCAACAUUUGUCUAUUUGAUGUUUUGUGUUGUUAUGUUACAUUUUAAGUAAUGGCCAUCCUAAUGUGUACGAAGUUUUGACUUGCGGUUUUGGCUUGCAUUUCCCUAAUUAGUGAUGUUGAACAUCUUUUCAUGUACUUAUCGGCCAUCUGUUAUCCUCUUUAGAGAAAUGGCCAUUCAAGUCCUUUGUAUUUUUUUAUUUAUUUUCAGUUAGAUCAUUUUUUAUUUUAUUAUUUAUUUAUUUAUUUGUUGUUGUUGUUGUUGUUGUUUUUUAAGUAGGCUCUACACCCAUUGUGGGCCUUGAACUCAUGAUUCUGAGAGCAAGAGUCUCAUGUUCUACUGACUGGGCCAGCCAGGCACCCUGGUUAGAUCAUUUUAAAAUCCAUCCUGGGGGUGCCUGGGUGGCUCAGUUGGUUGAGUCUCUGACUCUUGAUUUCAGCUCAUCCCAGGGUGAAAUCCCAGGGUCGUGGGAUUGAUCCCAGGGUCGUGGGAUUGAGCCCUGCGGGCUCCACACUGAGCGUGGAGCCUGCCUAAGAUUCUCUCUCUUCUGCCAUUCUCUCCCCAUUCGUGCUCUCUCUCUCUCAAAAAAAAAAAAAAGUUAAAAAAAUCCAUUCAGCCAAUCUGUCUUCUUAUGUGUGUAGUAAAAUAUACAUAAAACUCACCAUUAAGUAUAUACUUCAGUGGCAUUAAGUACAUUUAUAAUGUAUAAUCAUCACCAAUCUCUGUCUUUUAAUUGGUGAACUUAAUCCGUUUAGAUUUAAAGUGAGUAGUGGGGUACCUGACUAGCUCAGUGGGUAGAGAUUGUGACUCUUGAUCUCCAGGUCAUGAGUUUGAGCCCCAUGUUGGGCAUAAAGCUUACUUAAAAAAAUGAAUAAAUAAAAUAAGUGAUUACUGAUAUUGAAGGACUUACUUUUGUGAUAGUGUUCUUUUCUAUAUGUCCUCUUCUUUUGUUCCCCAGUCCUUCCAAUACUGUGUUCUUUUGUGUUUGAUUUUUUUCUAGUGUACCAUUUUGAUUUCCUCUUCACUUCCUUUUCUGUAUAUUUCCUACUUGUUUUCUUAGUGGUUACCAUGGGGAUUACAGCUAAUAUCCUAAGAUUAGUAGCUAAUUUAUCAUCAGACACCAUGAAGGCCUAAAACCAGUAGGAUGAUAUAUUUAAAGUAGUGAUAGACAGGUGCCUGGGUAGCUCGGUCGGUUAAGCAUCCAACUCUUGAUCUCAGCUCAGGUCUUAAUCUCAGGGGUCGUAAGUUCAAGCCCCACAUUGGGCUCUGCACAGGGCAUGAAGCCUACUUAAAAACAAGUGAAGGAAGGAAGGAAGGAAGGAAGGAAGGGGAAGGGAGGAAAGGGAAGGAAGGAAGGAAGGAAGGAAGGAAGGAAGGAAGGAAGGAGAAGGGAGGGAGGGAGGGAGGGAGGGAGGAAGGGAGGAAGGUAGGUAUUGAUAGGGUGUUCCCUAUGGUGGCACAUAUACUAAAAUUGGAAUGAUACACAGGAGAUUAGUGUCACCCCUGGCCAAGGAUAACAUUCAUGAAGCAUUCCAUAUGUUGAAAGUUAUGCUUACAAAAAAAUAAAUAAAAUAAAGUACUGACAGUAUUCUCGUAUUUUUGGUAUGUAACUCCUCUUUUGUGUUUCUUAUAUGAUUUAAAAGGCAGAUGCAUAAAACAAUAAUUAUAAAUCUAUGUUAACAUGUACAUAAUGUAUACAGACGUAUUUGUACCAAUAACAUAAAGGGGGUAUGGAAUUGACUAGGAGGAAUUAAUGUAUGUUAUUGAAGCUAAGAUGUUCUCAGUUCAGUCUAGAUUGUUGUAAAUUUAUCUAUUUCUUCUUAAGUGCACUUAGGUAAUUUGUGUCUUUCCGUGUAUCCUCCAUUUCGACUAAGUUGUUGGAUUUAUUGGCAUAAAGUUGUCCCUAAUGGCCCCUCAUUAGUCUUUUAUUAUCUGUAAAAUCUGUUGUGAUGUUACUCUCUCAUUCCUGAUAUUAAUGAUUUGUAUUUUUUCCCGACCAUUCUGGAUGGAGGUUUAUCUGUUUUGUUGAUCUGAAGCAGCAUUUAGUUUCAUUUAUUUUUCUCUAUUUUUCUGUUUUCUAUUUCAUAGAUUUCUGCAUUGAACUUUUGUUUUCUUCUGCAUACUUUGGUUUCAGGUGGAAGCUGAGGUCAUUGACAUGAGAUCUUUCUUCCUUCUUCCUCCCUCCCUCCCUCCCUCCCUUCCUUCCUUCCUUUUUUUAAAAAAGGAUUUUUAGGGGGGUGCAUGGGUGGCUCAGGUGGUUGAGCAUCUGACUUCAGCUCAGAUCAUGAUCUCACAGCUCGUAGGUUUGAGCACCACAUUGGGCUCUGUGUUGACAGCUUGGAGCCUCGAGCCUGCUUUGGAUUCUGUGUGUGUCUCUCUCUGCCCCUCCCCCACUUGUGCUCCGUCUCUCUCUCUCAAAAAAAAAUAAACAUUAAAAAGUUUUUUUGUGGGGCGCCUGGGUGGCUCAGUCGGUUGGGCGUCCGACUUUGGCUCAGGUCAUGAUCUCGCGGUCCGUGAGUUCGAGCCCCGCGUCGGGCUCUGUGCUGACAGCUCAGAGCCUGGAGCCUGUUUCCGAUUCUGUGUCUCCCUCUUUCUCUGACCCUCCCCCAUUCAUGCUCUGUCUCUCUCUGUCUCAAAAAUAAAAUAAAAACGUUAAAAAAAAAUUUUUAAAAAAAAAAAGUUUUUUUGUAAGAAAAGACUUUUUUGGGGGGGCUCCUGGGUGGCUCAGUCAGUUAAGCAUCUGACUUCGACUCAGGUCAUGAUCUCGGGGUCCAUGAGUUCAAGCCCCAAGUUGGGCUCUGUGCUGACAGCUCAGAGCCUGGAGCCUGCUUCGGAUUCUGUGUCUCCCUCUCUCUCUCUGCCCCUCCCCUGCUUGGGCACUCUCUCUCUCUCUCUCUCUCUCUCUAAGUAAAUAAAUGAGUCAGAUGUUCCUUAAAAAAAGGCAUUUAGUCAAGGUGCCUGGGUGGCUCAGCUGGUUAAGCGUCUGACUCUCGGUUUUGGCCCAGGUCGUGAUCUCAUGGCUUCAUGGGUUCUAGCCCUGAGUGAGGCUCUGCGCUGGCAGCAUGGAGCCUGCUUGGAAUUCUCUCUCUCCCUCUCCACCCCUCCCCCACUCACACUACAUCUGUCUCUCUCAAAAUAAAGAAACAAACAAAGGCAUUUAGUGCCAUAAAUUUCGGUAAUGGAGGUGCCCCGCAAAUUCUGUGUUGUGUUUUCAUUUUCACUCAGUUCAAAAUACUUCCUAUUAUUAAAAAAAUUUUUUUUUAAUUUUAUUUUUAAGUAAUCUCUACACCCAACAUGGGGCUCGAAUUUACAAUCCUGGGAUCAAGAGUCGCAUGCUCUCCCAACUGAGCCAGCCAGGUGCCACUCUAAUUCUUUUUUUUGUUUAAAUGUUUAUUAAUUUAUUUUGAGAGGUGGGGGGAGAGAGAGAAUUUCAAGCAGGCUCCACACCAUCAGCCCAGAGCCCAACAUGGGCCUCAGUAUCACAAACUGUGAGAUCAUGACCUGAGCCAAAAUCAAGAGUCAGACACUUGGCUGUCUGAGCCACCCAGGCACCCCCUAAUUAUUUUUUGAUCCAGAGGUGUGUUACUCAUUUUCCAAGCAUUUGGGGAUUUUCCAAGUAUCUUUCUGUUAUUGGUUUCUUUUCUUUUCUUUUUUUAGAGAGAGAGACAGCAUGCGCCCAUGGGAGCAGGGGAGAGAAGCAGAGAGAGAAAGAGAGAGAAACUUUUUUUUUUUAAUGUUUAUUUAUUUUGAGGGAGAGAGAGAGAUAGAGCUCGGAUGGGGGAGGGGCAGAGAGAGAGGGAGACAGAGAAUCCCAAGCAGGCUCUGCACGGGGGCUUGAACCCACAACCCCUGAGAUUGUGACCUGAACCGAAAUCAAGAGUCGGAUGCUUUACUGAACCGAGCCACCCAGGUGCCCCGAGAGGGAGAGAGAAUCUAAGCAGGCUCCAUACUCAGCGCAGAUCCCAAUGAGGGACUCGAUCCCACGACCCUGGGAUCAUGUCCUGAACUGAAACUGAGCAGGGUACUCAACCGACUGUCACCCAGGCGCCCUGUUAUUGGUUUCUAAUAUAAUUCCGCUGUGAUCAGAGAACAUACUUUGUAUGACUUGAAUCCUUUUGAAUGUUCUAUGUCAAGUUGGUUGAUAGUGUUAUUCAAAUCUACUAUAUCCUAGCUCAGUAUUUGUCUACUUGCUUUAUCAAUUACUAAGAGAGUGGUACUGAAAUCUCUGACUCUAAUUGUGAUCAUUUUUCUUGUAAUUAGUAAUCAGUUGUAAUCAGUUUUGGCUUCAUAUCAUUUGAAGCUCUCUUACAGGACACAUGAACAUUAGCAUUGUUAUGUCCUCAAUUAAUUGACCCCUUUGUCAUUAUGAACUGAACUUCUUUAUCCCUGGUAAUAUUCUCUGCUUUGAAAUCAACUUUGUAUUAUAUUAUUGUAGCCCUCCCAGCGUUCUUUUGACUGCAUAAGCAUGGUGUAUUUUUUUUCCAUCUUUUUGCUUUUACCCUAUUUGAGUCUUUAUAUUCAAAGUACAUUUGUUGUGGGCAGCAUAUAAUUGGGUCUUGCUUUCUUAUCCACUGUAACGAUCCCUGCCUUUUAAUUUGGUUGUUUAAACAAUUUACCUUUAAUGUGAUGACUGAUACAUAGUUGACUCUUGAACAGCAUAAGUUAGAACUGGGAAGGUCCACUUAUGCACAGAUUUUUAAAAAUAAAUAUAGUACAGUACUGUAUUUUCUCUUCCUUAUGAUUUUCUUAUGAUUUUCUUUAUUCUAUUUAUGUCAUUCUAAGAAUACAGUAUAGGGGUGCCUGGCUGGCUUAGUCAGUAGAGACUCUUGAUCUCGGGGUGGUGAGUUUGAGCCCCAUAUUGUGCAUAGAGAUUACUUUAAAAAAAGAAUACAGCAUAAAAUCCACACGACAUACAAAAUAUGUUUCAUCAACUGUUUAUGUUAUCGGUAGGGCUUUUGGUUAACAGCAGGCUAUUUGUAGUUCAGUUUUGGGGGAGUCAAAAGUUCUACACAGAUAUUUGGUUUGCUCCUAAUCCCCAUGCUGUUCAAAGGUCAAGGGUAGUUAGGUUUCAGUUUAUCAUCCUAUUUGUUUCCUAGUUGUCUCAUCUGUUCUUUGCUCCCUUUUUCCUCUUUUUCUGCUUUCUUUAAAUUAUUUUUAUUCCAUCUUUUUUCUUUUGUUGCUUUAUUAGUUAUAACUCUGUUAUUUUACUAGUUGCUUUAGGGUUUAUACUAUACAUCUUUCACUCACGACAAUCCACUUAAAAAAUUUUUUUAAUGUUUUUUUGGGAGAGAGAGAGUGAGUGAGCAGGGGAGGAGCAGAGAGAGAGGGAGACACAGAACCCGAAGCAGGCUCCAGGCUCUGAGCUGUCAGCACAGAGCCCAACGUGGGGCUGGAAGUCACCAACCGUGAGAUCAUGACAUGAGCCAAAGUCGGACGCUUAACUGAGUCACCCAGGCGCCCCUCCGCAGUCCACUUUUAAGUGAUAUGACACAACCUCAUGUAUAUCUGAAUCUUACUAUAUUUCCAUUUCUUGUCCAACCUUUGUGCUAUUAACAUAAUACAUUUUGUAUCAUAUCUGACUCCAUAAUACAUUUCACUUUUACAUAUGUUAACUUGAAUCCUUGUAAAUUUGAGAUUUGUUUAUGGCCCAGAAUGUGGUCUAUCUCAGUAGAUAUUCUCAGUGCACAAACCCCACAAUACAUUAUCAUUUUUUAUUUUUUAACACAAUUCUCUUUUUAAAAGAUGUAAGUAAUAAGAAAAAAAUGAUAUACUUACUCAUGUAGUUAUCACCAGAGUUCUUCAUUCCUUUGGGUCGGUCCAUAUUUUUAUUUGGUAUCAUUUUCUUUUUGCCUGAAGAACUUCCCUUAACAAAUUUUGUAGUGCAGGUCUGCUAGUGAUGAAUUCUUUCAGUUCUUAUAUAUCUGAAGAUGUCUUUAUUUCCCCUUUAUUUUGUAACCUUUAUUUGAGAGUGGGGAGGGGCAGAGAGAGAGAGAGAGGGAGAGAGGGAGAAUCCCAAGCAAGCUCUGUGUUGUCAGUGCAGAGCCCGAUGUGGGGCUCAAACUCACGAAAGACGAGAUCAUGACCUGAGCCAAAAUCAAGUCGGGCACUUACUCAACUGAGCCAGGUGCCCCUCACUUUUGUUUUUGAAAGAUAUUUUUUAUUUUAAUUCCAGUAUAGUUAACAUAGAAUAUGUUAGUUUCAGGAGUACAAGAUAGUGAUUCAACACUUCCAUACAUCACCCAGUGCUCAUCCGGACAGGUGCACUCCUUAACCCCCAUCACCUGUGUAACCCAUCCCCCCACCCACCUGCCCUCUAAUAACCAUCAGAUUGUUCUCUACAGUUAAGAAUCUGUUUCUUGGUUUGUCUUCUUUUUAAAAAAAACUUUUUUUAAUGUUUAUUUAUUUUUGAGAGAAGAGAGAGACAGAGCGUGAGUGCAGGAAGGGCGGAGAAAGAGGGAGACACAGAAUCCCAAACAGGCUCCAGGCUCUGAGCUGUCAGCACAGAGCCCGAUGCGGGACUGGAACUCANNNNNNNNNNNNNNNNNNNNNNNNNNNNNNNCCUUGCUGCAUUCAAAAAAAAAUUUUUUUUAAUGUUUAUUUAUUUUUGAGAGAAGAGAGAGACAGAGCGUGAGUGCAGGAAGGGCGGAGAAAGAGGGAGACACAGAAUCCCAAACAGGCUCCAGGCUCUGAGCUGUCAGCACAGAGCCCGAUGCAGGGCUCAAACUCAUGAACUGUGAGAUCAUGACCUGAGCUGAAGUCAGGCGCUUAACCGACUGAGCCACCCAGGCGCCCCUCUCUUUCUUCUUUUACUCGUUUGUUUCCUAAAUUCCACGAGUGAAAUCAUAAAUUUGUCUUUCUCUGACUGACUUAUUUUGCUUAGCAUUAUACUUUCUAGUUCCAUCCAUGUUGUUGCAAAUGGCGACAUUUCAAUUUCAUCCUUUCAUGAUGAAAGGAUUUCAUCCUUUUUAUGGCGAAAUAAUAUUCCAUUGUAUAUUUAUACCACAUCUUCUUUAUCCGCUCAUCUAUCAGUGGACAUUUGGGACAUUUCUCUCUUCUUCCGGGCCUCUAAUCACCAUAUGUUAGGCCACUUGAGAUUGUCCUACAACUCCCCGAUGCUCUUGUAAUUUUUUUCUAGACUCUUUCUUCUGUUUCAUUUUGGGUAAUUUCUAUUCUAAUGCCUUCAUGUUCAUUUACCUUUUCUUCUGCAAUAUCUGAUCUGCCAUUAAUCUUAUCCACUGUAUAUUGUAUUUUGGACAUUGGAGCCUUCAUGUCUAAAAAUUCAAUCUGGGGCUUUUUUUUUUAUAUCUUCCUUGUCUGCCCUUAACUUUUUGAGCAUAAAGAAUACAGUUAUAACUGUUCUAUUUUUAUUUUUUAACUUUUACUGCUUACUUAUUUUUGAGAGAGACAGAGUGCAAGCAGGGGAGGGGUAGAGAGAGAGAGAGGGAGACACAGAAUCCGAAGCAGGCUCCAGGCUCUGAGCUGUCAGCACAGACCCCAGUGUGGGGCUUGAACUCACAAACCAUGAGAUCAUGACCUGAGCCGAAGUCGGAUGCUUAACUGAGUCACCCAGGCACCCCCAGUUAUAACUGUUUUAAUGUCCUCCUCAGGUCUAACAUCUGUCAGUUCCAGAUCAGUUUCAGUUGAUUAUAGAUUGUGUUUUCCUGCCUCUUUGCACGUCUAAGUAUUUAUGAAUCCAUUUUUAUUUAUUCAUUUAUUUAAGUUUAUUUAUUUUGAGAGGGGCAGAGGCAGUGGGGGAGGGGCAGAGAGAGAGGAGAGAGAGAAUCCCAAGUGGGGCUUGAACCCACAAAACCAUGAGAUCAUGACCUGAGCCAAAACCAAGAGUCAGACUCUUAACCGGCUGAGCCACUCAGGCGCCCCUUUAUGGAUCCAUUAAAAAAAUAUAUUUAUUUUUGAGAGGGAGAGAGAAAGAGAGAGAGAGAGAGAGAGAGAGAGAGAGAGUGUGGGGGAGGGGCAGAGAGAGUUGGGGGGGCAGAGAAACUGAAGCAGGCUCUGUGCUGACAGCAGGGAGCCCGCCAUGGGGCUUGAAGUCACGAACCUUGAGAUCACAACCUGAGCUGAAGUCGGAUGCCUAACAGACUGAGCCACCCACGUGCCCCUGAAUCCAUUUUUUUAAAUGGAUGCCACACAGUAUGAAUGUUACCUCACUGGGGGCUGGGUAGUUUUGCAUUCCUAUAAGUCUUCUUGAGUUUUGUUCUGGAAUGAGUUUAUAUUACUUGCCAACGUUUUGAUCUUUCCAAACGUUGCUUUUAUGAUUUGUUAGGUGGGUCCAGAGUAGGGGGACACAAGGAUGAGCAAGGCAUUAGUGGAAGUGGAUACAUAAGCCUAGGCACUCCCCGUAGCAACACGGUAAGGGAACACUCAAAACUUGAUCAGGGUGGCACAGUGCAGCCUCAGCUCUGCCCUCUCUCUCCCCUUCCUGAGGUAGCAGCAGCGUGAAGAGAGCAGAGAGGGCUGCAGUAUUCCCUGGCUGGGCUCGGGGGUACCCAAGGGAUCUAAAGCCUUAUCACUAGAACAAAUCGGGCUUCACAUCAUUUGUAAAUUGGGGCCACCCGCACCUGCCCUGCCUAGCUCAGAAUGGUGUUUGUCCUGGCGGUAAGGGAAACGUGCUGAGUUUCUGACACUGAAAUCCCGACAUACUGGCUUAGCCAGUUGACCGCUAAGCCCACUCCUAGAGGGCCCUCGAGAUAUGUGGUCAGAAGCUGUGGGGAUGAGGACAAAAGCUGGGUGUGUGAGCAGCCAAAGGGGUCUGAGUUCUAAAACUAAUUAUUUGCUCCUAACCUUGCAAGAUGAGGCAAGCCCAGGGCAUCUGGGUGGCUCAGUCGGUUUAAGCAUAUAUUAAAAAAUACAUAUAUAGGAGGCAGGUCCUGCCUGGGGAGGUGGUUUCCUCCGUCUGCCCUCACCUCUGAUAGAAGCCUGGGAUGGGUGGUCUCCUUACUCUCCAGACUCAAAAGCCUGAGAAACACCAGGGAAUCCACCUGGAGCCUCCAGACCUGGGCAUUUCUGUCAUUCCUUUCCUUUUAUCUCUGAUUUCCCACCAGUCAGAUGAUGGUGUCUGAAGGCAAGAGGCCAGAGUUCUCAACUGCCCUCUGGUUCUCCGUUGGGUCAUCUCUGCAUCAGACCCGCCCUUAUCCCACCUCCUUCGGAAGGGCCUGAGGAAACUGGCCAGACCAGACCUCCGUGCCACUGGCUGUCCCUGGCAAGAAUAAGCCGAUCCAACUUAUUCCUAUAUCUCCAGUAGCACCCAAGGACCCUGGAGGGCCUCAGCCUCGUUCAGCUCCCACAACUUUUGUGUUCUUGGGUGGCUUCCAUCACCUGCCAGUCUCAAGUUUUC
RNAcentral lists this long non-coding RNA (18230 nucleotides) under Lynx pardinus (Iberian lynx). The record is from RNAcentral. Lineage: Eukaryota; Metazoa; Chordata; Mammalia; Carnivora; Felidae.